This is an RNA transcript of Hippopotamus amphibius kiboko, 7104 nucleotides long. It is a transcript of the gene named DEP domain containing 5, GATOR1 subcomplex subunit, with no coding region annotated. The record is from RefSeq and is a predicted model, not a curated record. Lineage: Eukaryota; Metazoa; Chordata; Mammalia; Artiodactyla; Hippopotamidae. The transcript has 47 exons.
GCCGCGCGGGUUCUCAGGUGAGCGCUCCGUGGCCGGGGCGGGCCGGCCGGCGCCUUGGGCUCGGGCACGGGAUCCGCGCGGUCUCUGUGGGCGUGGGCGGGGCGUCCGGAGGAGGCGCGCGGACCGCGGCCACGGUCCGGCCCUCGGAACCCCGGCCUCAAGCGGGAAGGGGCUCCGGAGCUGCGGGGAGGCAAGAUGAUUUCUCUCCCCCAGGCUUGGAACAGCUGAAGGAAACAACAGUACAAGAUGAGAACAACAAAGGUCUACAAACUCGUCAUCCACAAGAAGGGCUUUGGGGGCAGUGAUGAUGAGCUAGUUGUGAACCCCAAAGUAUUUCCUCACAUCAGGCUUGGAGACAUUGUGGAGAUUGCUCACCCCAACGAUGAGCACAGCCCUCUGCUUUUGCAGGUCAAGUCACUUAAGGAGGAUUUGCAGAAAGAAACUGUCAGUGUGGACCAGACUGUGACUCAAGUGUUCCGGCUAAGACCUUAUCAAGAUGUAUAUGUGAAUGUCGUAGACCCUAAGGAUGUGACCCUUGACCUAGUGGAAUUAACCUUUAAGGAUCAAUAUAUUGGCCGUGGGGAUAUGUGGCGACUAAAGAAAAGUUUGGUCAGCACAUGUGCCUACAUCACUCAAAAGGUGGAAUUUGCUGGCAUCAGGGCGCAGGCCGGGGAGCUGUGGGUCAAGAAUGAGAAGGUCAUGUGUGGUUAUAUCAGCGAAGAUACCAGGGUGGUAUUCCGUUCUACGUCGGCUAUGGUUUACAUAUUUAUUCAGAUGAGCUGUGAAAUGUGGGAUUUUGAUAUUUAUGGGGAUCUGUAUUUUGAGAAAGCUGUGAAUGGUUUCCUUGCUGAUCUCUUUACCAAGUGGAAGGAGAAGAACUGCAGUCAUGAAGUGACAGUGGUCCUGUUUUCUAGGACUUUCUAUGAUGCAAAAUCUCUUGAUGAAUUUCCUGAAAUAAACCGAGCCUCGAUUAGGCAGGAUCACAAGGGAAGAUUCUAUGAAGACUUCUAUAAGGUGGUGGUGCAGAACGAGAGAAGAGAAGAGUGGACCUCCCUCCUUGUGACAAUUAAAAAGCUCUUCAUCCAGUAUCCGGUGCUGGUGCGCCUGGAACAGGCAGGUUUCUAUUUCAGGUUGGGUCCCUCUGGUCAUUGCACAUGCAAGGGCUUUCCUCAAGGAGACAAUUCUACCUCAGCACAAGGAAACUACCUAGAGGCCAUCAACCUGUCAUUCAAUGUGUUUGACAAGCACUACAUCAACCGCAACUUUGACCGCACUGGGCAGAUGUCUGUGGUGAUCACGCCCGGGGUAGGUGUGUUCGAAGUGGACCGGCUCCUCAUGAUCCUGACCAAGCAGCGGAUGAUAGACAACGGAAUUGGUGUGGACUUGGUGUGCAUGGGGGAGCAGCCGCUGCACGCUGUCCCGUUGUUCAAGCUGCACAAUCGGGGCGGCCCUCGUGACUCCCGCCUGGGUGACGACUACAAUAUCCCUCACUGGAUAAACCACAGUUUCUACACAUCCAAAAGCCAGCUCUUCUGUAAUAGUUUCACCCCACGAAUAAAACUGGCAGGAAAGAAGCCUGCCUCUGAGAAAGCAAAAAAUGGCCGUGAUACGUCUCUGGGGACGCCCAAAGAAGCUGAGAACGCCCUUCCCAUCCAAGUGGAUUAUGAAGCCUACGACGCCCGAGUCUUCAGGCUGCCAGGCCCAUCCCGGGCUCAGCGCCUCGCCACCUGCAGGUCUGUGCGAGAGCGGGAGAGCCACAGUCGGAAGAGCGCCAGCUCCUGCGAUGUCUCAUCCAGCCCCUCCCUGCCUGGCCAGGCGCUGCCCGCGGAGGAGGUGAGGAGCCAGGCUUCCGACGACAGCUCGCUGGGCAGGAGUGCCAACAUCCUCAUGAUCCCUCACCCCCACCUGCACCAGUAUGAAGUCAGCAGCUCCUUGGGCUACACCAGCACUCGAGACGUCCUGGAGAACAUGAUAGAGCCACCGCAGCGGGACUCCAGCGCGCCGGGGAGGUUCCACGUGGGCAGUGCCGAGUCCAUGAUGCAUGUUCGGCCGGGGGGGUACAUGCCCCAGCGGGCGCUGAUCAACCCCUUCGCGCCCUCGCGGAUGCCCAUGAAGCUCACGUCCAACAGGAGGCGCUGGAUGCACACUUUUCCUGUGGGACCAUCCGGAGAGGCCAUCCAGAUCCACCACCAGACCCGACAGAACAUGGCGGAGCUGCAGGGCAGGAGGCAGCGGGACCCGACCCACUCCUCCGCGGAGCUGCUGGAGCUGGCCUACCACGAAGCCGCUGGAAGGCACAGCGCUUCCCGCCAGCCCGGUGACGGCGCAUCCUUCCUGAACUUCACUGGAACAGAAGAGCUUUCUGUCAGCCUGCUCAACAGCAGCGGUGCAGGCGUGAAUCCCAGGACCCAGAAUAAGGAUUCUCUAGAGGACGGUGUUUCUACCUCUCCAGACCCAAUUCUGACGCUGUCUGCUCCUCCUGUAGUGCCAGGCUUCUGUUGCACAGUUGGCGUGGACUGGAAGUCUCUCACGACUCCGGCGUGCCUCCCCCUCACCACGGACUACUUCCCCGACCGCCAGGGCCUGCAGAACGACUACACGGAGGGCUGCUACGACCUCCUCCCAGAGGCCGACAUCGACAGGAGGGACGAGGAGGGCGUGCAGAUGACGGCCCAGCAGGUGUUUGAGGAGUUCGUGUGCCAGCGGCUCAUGCAGGGCUACCAGAUCAUCGUGCAGCCCAGGGCGCAGCAGCCCAGCCCCGCCGCGCCGCCCCCGCUCAGCAGCAGCCCGCUCUACAGCCGGGGCCUUGUGUCCCGAAACCGUCCCGAGGAGGAAGACCAGUACUGGCUCAGUAUGGGCAGGACUUUCCACAAAGUCACACUGAAGGAUAAGAUGAUCACAGUGACACGCUACCUUCCCAAGUACCCUUACGAAUCUGCCCAGAUCCACUACACCUACAGCCUCUGCCCCUCCCACUCAGACUCGGAGUUCGUGUCCUGCUGGGUGGAGUUCUCGCACGAGCGGCUGGAGGAGUACAAGUGGAAUUACUUAGACCAGUACAUCUGCUCUGCCGGCUCCGAGGACUUCAGCUUAAUCGAGUCUCUGAAGUUCUGGAGGACCCGCUUCCUGCUGCUGCCGGCCUGUGUCACCGCCACCAAGCGCAUCACGGAGGGGGAGGCCCACUGCGACAUCUACGGGGACAGGCCCCGGGCGGACGAGGAGGAGUGGCAGCUCCUGGACGGCUUCAUCCGCUUCGUGGAGGGCCUGAACCGCAUCCGCCGGCGGCACCGCUCCGACCGCAUGAUGCGGAAAGGGGCCACCAUGAAAGGCUUGCAGGUGGCUGGGCCCGUCCCCACCCACUCCCUCGAGUCCACCGGCCCCCCUGUGGGGAAGAAGGGAACCUCAGCUCUGUCUGCCCUGCUGGAGAUGGAGGCCACUCAGAAGUGCCUGGGAGAACAGCAGGCGGCGGCCCACGGGAGCAAGAGCUCAGCCGCCCCGGCCGAGAGCAGCGGCGUUGCCAUGACCCCCACCUACGUGGACAGCCCACGAAAGGUGUCUCUGGACCAGACGGCCGCCCCGGUGUUGGACGGCUGCAGCCUGGGGGUGAGCGCAGGCCAGUCCGUGGACAGAGGCAACAGCCAGACCUCUGGGAACUCACAGAGCUCGGGAGAACAAGCCUUCCCCUCUGCAAACUCCAGUGACAGCAGCUCUCAGCAGCUGACGGCCAGCUCCUUGACGUCCUCCUCCACCCUGGUGGAGAUCCUGGAGGCCAUGAAGCACCCCUCGACAGGAGUGCAGCUGCUCCCGGAGCAGAAGGGCCUGUCGCCGUGCUGCUUCAUCAGCGCGGAGGUGGUGCACUGGCUGGUGAACAGCGUGGAGGGGGUGCAGACGCAGGCCAUGGCCAUCGACAUCAUGCAGAAAAUGCUGGAAGAGCAGCUCAUCACACACGCCUCUGGGGAGGUCUGGCGGACCUUCAUCUACGGCUUCUAUUUCUACAAGAUCGUGAUGGACAGAGAGCCUGAGCGAGUGGCCGUGCAGCAGCCCACCACCUGGCACACGACGGUGGUGGACGACUUCGCCAGCUUCCAGCGCAAGUGGUUCGAGGUGGCCUUCGUGGCCGAGGAGCUCGUGCACUCGGAGAUCCCUGCCUUCCUGCUGCCCUGGCUGCCCAGCCGGCCGGCCUCCUACGCCAGCAGGCACAGCUCCUUCAGCCGCAGCUUCGGGGGCCGGAGCCAGGCGGCUGCGCUCUUAGCCGCCACUGUCCCGGAGCAGAGGACCGUGACCCUGGACGUGGACGUGAACAACCGCACGGACCGACUGGAGUGGUGCAGCUGUUACUACCACGGCAACUUCUCGCUGAACGCAGCCUUCGAGAUCAAGCUGCACUGGAUGGCGGUGACCGCCGCGGUGCUCUUCGAGAUGGUCCAAGGGUGGCAUCGCAAGGCCACCUCCUGUGGCUUUCUGUUGGUGCCGGUUUUGGAGGGCCCCUUUGCGCUGCCCAGUUACCUGUAUGGCGACCCGCUCCGGGCCCAGCUCUUCAUCCCGCUCAGCGUCAGCUGCCUGCUCAAGGAGGGCAGCGAGCACCUGUUUGACAGCUUUGAACCAGAAACAUACUGGGACCGAAUGCACCUUUUCCAGGAAGCCAUCGCGCACAGGUUUGGGUUUGUUCAAGAUAAAUACUCUGCCUCUGCUUUCAACUUCCCUGCUGAGAACAAGCCUCAGUACAUCCACGUCACAGGGACGGUGUUCCUGCAGCUGCCCUACUCCAAGCGCAAGUUCUCCGGGCAGCCGCGGCGGCGCCGCAACUCCACCAGCUCCGCCAGCCAGAGCCUGUUCUGCGAGGAGCGGGUGGGCUACACCUGGGCCUACAACACCAUGCUGACCAAGACCUGGCGCUCCAGCGCCACUGGCGACGAGAGGUUCGCCGACCGGCUGCUGACGGACUUCACGGACUUCUGCGCCAACCGCGACAACCGGCUGGCGGCCUUCUGGACCCGCUGCCUGGAGAAGAUGCACGCCAGCGCCCCAGCAGAAGCAGGAAUAAAGUGCCCGGUGUGGCAGCCACCCCGUCCUCUGCUGAACAGCCGUGCCCCCUUGCUGGGGUCCCGGAGGCCGAUGAGGCGGCCACAGACACUGGGGAGGACUCCAGAGUUCACGUGGGGGUUUGGCUGCAAGUUUACUGAAAGGUGCAGGUGUGGCUGCUGCCUGUGGAGAUUUUGAAAGAAUAGCAUCAGCGUCCUUCAUUUAUAAAGAGGGAGGCUGUCUCCCAGGGAGGUUGAUGGAUCUAAAGACAGAUGUACCUGAAAGGACUGACUGACUCGCAGGCAGUACACAAAUGCAGGCUGCCCACCCUCACAGGCCGGGAGUCCUCUUCCUGCACUUGUGAGCCAGCCUCCUGGGUCAUGGUGUGGACACAGCAGCUGCUGGCCCAUUCAGCAGCCACCGAACUGGUCCUCUUGCAUCCUCCUUUGCCUUGAAGAAUCUACUCUCCUCACAGCAACCAACAUGCUGUCUUUCAAACACAGAACAGGCUGCAUCCUUCCCCUGCUUGAAAACCCUCCAGUGACUUCCCAUCAAUUUGGGGUGAAAUCCCAACUCCUUGCCCUAUGGAGCCUGGGCUUCUGGAAGCCUCCGUCUCUGUUUUCACCUCCUGUUGCUCGCUCUGAAUGACGCAGGGUCUCCUCUUUCUGGUCCGUGGAUGCCCCAAGGUUACCCCUGCCUCGGGGCCUUCUUGACUCGCCCGUCCCAAGAUCGUGGCUCCAUUGCUUUCUCACUGUUGGUGUCACUUGUCACCCUGCCUGACUCCUCUGCCUAGAGAAGCACCACCCCUCUGCCCGGCACUGCCUGUCACACGGCCCUGUUAUCUCCCCCACGCAGCCCUUGUCACCACCCGAGACCAUCUGCACCACUGGCCCACAUGUGUGUCGUCUUCUCUCCUCUCUGGAACGUAAGUUCCGGGACUGUUUCUCGUCCCUGCUGCAUCCCCAGUACUUAACAACAGCGGUGUGCCUGGCAUGCAGUAGGUGCCCAAUGAGAGCUCGUUCACAGAACCAACCAACAAGGGUUCAUCCCAGGUUGCUGUCCCGACUCUCCUGUAGAGCAGCACCUCCCUGUCCUAUGACUUCAAGACAGUAAUUUCUUUAAGUGCUCAGAGGUCGCUCACUUACCUGCCCGCUCUACCACCUACAAAGGGCGUGACCUUGGGCGCGUUACUUCAUCUCUCUGUGCCUCAGUUUUGUCAGCUGCAAAGUGGGGAUAAUAACAGUACCCGCCUCAUGGGGUGAAGGUGAGGACCAUAUUAAUGUAGGAAGAGGCGUAAUGCAGCGCAUGGGACCCAGCGUUCAGUACCGUUCGCUCUGCUGCCGUGAUCACUGCCAUCACCACCACCAGGCUGACCAGUGUUUCCUUUCUGCCUUCAAGUAAUAGCACUUACCGGCCACUUUGCCUGCUUGGUACCCUACAGUGGCUUCCUAUUCCACUUGGGAAGAGACCCAGCCCCUGGAAGCAGCCUGGCAGCCCCACCUCCCUCUCCAGCCUCACCGUGCACGACUGCCCCCCUUGCUCGAUCCCCUGCAGUCACACGGGCCUCCUGUUGGUUCUCAGUGCGAUUCGUGCUUGUCCCACGCCAGACACCGGGCCUGGGAUGACCUCUCCCUCCUCCUGCCCCUGGUUGAUGCCUCCUGAGUGCGGUCACGGCCUCUCCACCUCCCUGCGCGCCCCCAGGCACAGUGAGCCUGCGCUGCAGCCCUUGUCACAGCUGUGAGCGGGCACUCACUCCACCCCUGGGUCGAUGCUGCCUUUCCUAUGAGAGCCUAAGCUCCACGAGAACAGAGACCCAGUCGUCCUUUGCUCCACCUUUGUACUCACUGUGUUUGCACGUGGUAGGUGUUCAGUAAAUAUUAAGUGACGGAGUGGGGAGAGAGCCUUUGGAUUGGGCACACAACUGCCCCAAGAGAAAAUCUGCUGUCUUUGCAGAACCAACUGGCCUUUCUCACCGGCCUCUGGCCACGGAGCCAGAACUGCACUCCUGAUUUCCAGGCGGGUCCGCCUGCUCGCAACGUGGCCUGGGGCAGCCCCUGCUUGCGUGCUGCCUUCCUUCACAUG